This 253-nucleotide ribosomal RNA is filed under the name uncultured bacterium. Its description in RNAcentral is "partial 16S ribosomal RNA". It matches the Rfam family "Bacterial small subunit ribosomal RNA", at positions 524 to 776 of the family's 1533-position model. The record is from RNAcentral.
UACGAAGGGGGCUAGCGUUGCUCGGAAUCACUGGGCGUAAAGGGUGCGUAGGUGGCGCCGUAAGUCAGGUGUGAAAUCUCGGGGCUCAACCCCGAAACUGCACUUGAUACUGCGGUGCUUGAGUACUGGAGAGGAGAUUGGAAUUUACGGUGUAGCAGUGAAAUGCGUAGAUAUCGUAAGGAGGACCAGUGGCGAAGGCGAAUCUCUGGACAGUUACUGACACUGAGGCACGAAGGCCAGGGGAGCAAACGGG